This 1062-nucleotide long non-coding RNA is filed under the name Astyanax mexicanus (Mexican tetra). Its description in RNAcentral is "lncRNA (ENSAMXG00005009510.1)". The record is from RNAcentral. Lineage: Eukaryota; Metazoa; Chordata; Actinopteri; Characiformes; Acestrorhamphidae.
CCGCCCCCUGGCUGCUGUAGCUCCGCCCCUCUCUUGAUGACGCGUUUUUACGGGUGCGUGGGUUGGCCUGGGCGCAUGCGCAUUGUGAUGUAAAUAGUAGCAGUAGCAGGUAGCUAGCUGAGCUUAGCUUGUGGAUCUCUGCGGUGUAGAUAAGGAAUUCUCACCGUGUUUAAACUGAGAGAAGCUGCGGGAGGAGUUACAUUAACCCGAGUCUUUAGCGGGGAGAGAAUAUUCUGGGGGGUUUAGUUUAUUUAAUUAGCUUUAUUUUAUUAGCGUACUUAAAGAACUAGGGCUAGCUAGGGAGCGAGCAGGCUAGCUAGGCUACCUAUUUAGGCAGCUAGCCGGGCAGUGAACAGCUGACCGUUAGCUUAGCAUAGCUUAGCUUAUAUAGAGGAGCUGACUGGCUGGAGAGCUUUCUAUUCGGAUAGCUAGCUGGCUAACAACAUUAUCAGGCUUUAUCUGUGUUAAAUGGUUAGCUAUCUUAGCUAACCUAUAUUUUCUGUAAUUAAUUAUUUAGCUAUAGAAGCAUUAAGUACUAUAAUAAGUUUAGAAGGAGUAGAGUCUUCAGUUCUCGUUUGGAUGACUUGUAGUUAGUUAGUUCGCUUAGCUAGCUACUAGCUUUAGCUUACUGUUAGUCUGUUAGCUGUGGUUUGGGGUGUUUUUAAGUCUUUCUAUUCGUAUUAAACCCGUUUUAUAGCUAUAAUUAAGCCUCCAGCGAUGUUUUAAAACGUUAAAAACGUUUUAAAAGGUAACAAACUCCUGUAAUUAAUUGAAUUAACCUUCUGGACAGACCAAAGAACGUCGUUGUUGGAGAGCUAGCUAGCUAAGCUAGUUAACCUAACUACUUUACCUACAGUGCAGCUAUGCUGACUGAAAGCAGGAAACGUCAGCGUACUCAAGGCGAUGAUGAAGAUGCACAUCUAAUGCCUCAGUCCAAAAGAUCCAGCGCAACACACAAGUCCUCUGAGCCCAGCGUAGAGGUGUGGGAGUCUGAGGUAGGGGAAUCAUUCAGGACUGCAUUUAUAACAUUACACAUUUUGGAUCUGUGGUCAAAUUAUUACU